This 429-nucleotide ribosomal RNA is filed under the name Pseudomonadota bacterium. RNAcentral's name for it is "Proteobacteria bacterium partial 16S ribosomal RNA". It matches the Rfam family "Bacterial small subunit ribosomal RNA", at positions 355 to 776 of the family's 1533-position model. The record is from RNAcentral. Lineage: Bacteria; Pseudomonadati; Pseudomonadota.
UGGGGAAUAUUGGACAAUGGGCGAAAGCCUGAUCCAGCCAUGCCGCGUGUGUGAAGAAGGUCUUCGGAUUGUAAAGCACUUUAAGUUGGGAGGAAGGGCAGUAAGCGAAUACCUUGCUGUUUUGACGUUACCGACAGAAUAAGCACCGGCUAACUCUGUGCCAGCAGCCGCGGUAAUACAGAGGGUGCAAGCGUUAAUCGGAAUUACUGGGCGUAAAGCGCGCGUAGGUGGUUCGUUAAGUUGAAUGUGAAAGCCCCGGGCUCAACCUGGGAAGUGCAUCCAAAACAGGCGAGCUAGAGUAGGGCAGAGGGGGGUGGAAUUUCCUGUGUAGCGGUGAAAUGCGUAGAUAUAGGAAGGAACACCAGUGGCGAAGGCGACCACCUGGGCUCAUAAUGACACUGAGGUGCGAAAGAGUGGGGAGCAAACAGG